This 105-nucleotide microRNA precursor is filed under the name Cricetulus griseus (Chinese hamster). RNAcentral describes it as "miRNA (ENSCGRG00000021749.1)". Lineage: Eukaryota; Metazoa; Chordata; Mammalia; Rodentia; Cricetidae. The record is from RNAcentral.
GGUGUGGCCUUGUGGGAGGAAGUAUGUCACUGGGGACAGGCUUUGAGGUUUCAGAAGCUCAAGCCAGUCCCAGUGUCUCUCUCUCUUCUUCCUGCCUGCUGAGCC